GACGAACGCUGGCGGCGUGCUUAACACAUGCAAGUCGAACGGAAAGGCCCGCCACCUUAGUGGUGGGUACUCGAGUGGCGAACGGGUGAGUAACACGUGGGUGAUCUGCCCCGCACUGUGGGAUAAGCCUGGGAAACUGGGUCUAAUACCACAUACGACCAUGGCGUAGGGGUCAUGGUGGAAAGCUUUCGCGGUGUGGGAUGAGCCCGCGGCCUAUCAGCUUGUUGGUGGGGUAAUGGCCUACCAAGGCGGCGACGGGUAGCCGGCCUGAGAGGGUGGACGGCCACAUUGGGACUGAGACACGGCCCAGACUCCUACGGGAGGCAGCAGUGGGGAAUAUUGCACAAUGGGCGCAAGCCUGAUGCAGCGACGCCGCGUGGGGGAUGGAAGGCCUUCGGGUUGUAAACUCCUUUCGCCCGGGACGAAGCCCACCUUGGUGGGGACGUACCGGAGAAGAAGCACCG
RNAcentral lists this ribosomal RNA (464 nucleotides) under Corynebacterium durum. Its description in RNAcentral is "bacterial SSU rRNA". It matches the Rfam family "Bacterial small subunit ribosomal RNA", at positions 28 to 495 of the family's 1533-position model. The record is from RNAcentral. Lineage: Bacteria; Bacillati; Actinomycetota; Actinomycetes; Mycobacteriales; Corynebacteriaceae.